This is a long non-coding RNA of Gossypium arboreum, 440 nucleotides long. RefSeq lists it as uncharacterized. The transcript is spliced from 2 exons. The record is from RefSeq and is a predicted model, not a curated record. Lineage: Eukaryota; Viridiplantae; Streptophyta; Magnoliopsida; Malvales; Malvaceae.
AUUCUUUCUUCUUCAACCGUGGAAAGAACUGAAAAUGGCAGCCAUGGAUGAGCUCCAUUCAGCCAAGCUUCUAUGGCUUAUAUAGAGUUCCAGGUUAGCUCGGGUUGGAAGCCGUCAGAGAUAUUAUCACCCUAUCGAGUUAACGUUAUCGGAGUAAGUAAACUCAAGUGAUUCGAGUCUAUGGCAUGUAUAGGGUUUUAAUGUGAGUAUGUAAUAUUAUGAUUUAGCCAAAGGCAUUAGCUUGUUAUUAAGGUAGUAUUAGUCAUGUAAAUUGGCCUAUGUCGGCUAAUGACGUUAUGGGCCCAUAUGAUUAUUCUUAUGCAUUUAUGUUAUUAUUUCUUGUGAUGUGGCUUACAACAUGUAUGCCUAGAGAUUGAAUUGAGAUUCAUUGAUGAGCUAGUAACUAAUGCAGGAUUAAGUGAUUGGUAAAUAGUUAAUAA